This 111-nucleotide ribosomal RNA is filed under the name Paenimyroides tangerinum. Lineage: Bacteria; Pseudomonadati; Bacteroidota; Flavobacteriia; Flavobacteriales; Flavobacteriaceae. The record is from RNAcentral.
UAGGGUAAUUAUUGCGUCGGGGCUCACCUCUUUCCAUUUCGAACAGAGAAGUUAAGUCCGAUUGCGCAGAUGGUACUGCAUUUAAUGUGGGAGAGUAUGACGUUGCCUUUU